RNAcentral lists this ribosomal RNA (672 nucleotides) under Mycoemilia scoparia. Its description in RNAcentral is "eukaryotic LSU rRNA". It matches the Rfam family "Eukaryotic large subunit ribosomal RNA", at positions 26 to 651 of the family's 3401-position model. The record is from RNAcentral. Lineage: Eukaryota; Fungi; Kickxellomycota; Kickxellomycetes; Kickxellales; Kickxellaceae.
CGCUGAACUUAAGCAUAUCAAUAAGCGGAGGAAAAGAAACUAACAAGGAUUCCCCUAGUAACGGCGAGUGAAGCGGGAACAGCUCAAGCCCUUAAUCGGCAACGGACCACCGUUGUCGAAUUGUAGCUUGAAGGUCAGUACUUUGGCAGCGCGGCAGACAUAAGCCUUUUGAAUAGGGCGCCAGAGAGGGUGCAAGCCCCGUCUUUUGUCAGCAACGUCCGUCUGUCAGUAUAAGUGCAGGCCAGCGAGUCGGGUUGUUUGGGAAUGCAGCCCUAACUGGGUGGUAAAUUUCAUCCAAAGCUAAAUAUCAGCCAGAGACCGAUAGCGAACAAGUACCGUGAGGGAAAGAUGAAAAGCACUCUGGAGAGAGAGUGAAAUAGUACGUGAAAUCGCUGCAAGGGAACCGCUUGCUCACCUCAAGCCAUGACUUUCGAGCUAUGGCGGCCAACACCAGUUUGGACUCUCAGACGGCCAGGGACGGAAGGUAGGUGGCGCUUCGGUGCUGCUGUUAUAGCUGUCUCAACGGUUUGUGCAGGGUUUGGACUGAGGCAUACCAGCAGUGCGUGCUCUCCUCGGAGGGCGGCCUGCCGUGCCUGCUCACGGCGGACACUCGUCAGACAGCAUGCUGACUGACGGUGAAAUUCCUGUUGUGACUCGGGUGCGAGCGGGACU